Molecule: ribosomal RNA, 440 nt
Filed under: uncultured bacterium
Lineage: Bacteria
Description: partial 16S ribosomal RNA
Rfam family: Bacterial small subunit ribosomal RNA
Source: RNAcentral
CCUACGGGUGGCAGCAGUGGGGAAUAUUGCACAAUGGGGGGAACCCUGAUGCAGCGACGCCGCGUGAGUGAAGAAGUAUUUCGGUAUGUAAAGCUCUAUCAGCCGGGAAGAAAAUGACGGUACCUGACUAAGAAGCACCGGCUAACUACGGGCCAGCAGCCGCGGUAAGACGGAGGGGGCAAUCGUUAUCCGGAUUUACUGGGUGUAAAGGGAGCGCAGACGGCUGUGCAAGUCUGGAGUGAAAGGCGGGGGCCCAACCCCCGGCCUGCUCUUGAAACUGUAAGGCUGGAGUGGAGGAGAGGUAAGCGGAAUUCCUAGUGUAGCGGUGAAAUGCUUAGAGAUUAUACAGAACACCGAUUGCGAAGGCAGCUUACCAGGGUACUUCUGACGUUGAGGCACGAAAGCGUGGGGAGCAAACAGGAUUAGAUACCCGGGUAGUC